This 116-nucleotide ribosomal RNA is filed under the name Deltaproteobacteria bacterium. The record is from RNAcentral. Lineage: Bacteria; Pseudomonadati; Myxococcota; Myxococcia.
GCCUGCGGCCAUAACGACAGGACCACACCCGAUCCCAUCCCGAACUCGCUCGUUCAGCCUCUCAGCGCCGACCAUACUGCGCACUUCCUGCGUGGGAAAAUAGGACGCCGCCGGAG